GGGCCAGUGGUGGAAUUGGCAGACACACGACACUUAAAAUGUUGCGUCCCGGGAGGGACAUGUGGGUUCGAGUCCCACCUGGCCCA
RNAcentral lists this transfer RNA (86 nucleotides) under Pseudomonadota bacterium. RNAcentral describes it as "tRNA-Leu". It matches the Rfam family "tRNA". From Rfam's summary of the family: Transfer RNA (tRNA) molecules are approximately 80 nucleotides in length. The record is from RNAcentral. Lineage: Bacteria; Pseudomonadati; Pseudomonadota. RNAcentral also lists the same sequence under 1 other name.